Molecule: ribosomal RNA, 274 nt
Filed under: uncultured bacterium
Lineage: Bacteria
Description: partial 16S ribosomal RNA
Rfam family: Bacterial small subunit ribosomal RNA
Source: RNAcentral
AUACGGAGGGUGCGAGCGUUAAUCGGAAUUACUGGGCGUAAAGCGCGCGUAGGCGGUUUGGUCAGUCGGAUGUGAAAGCCCUGGGCUCAACCUGGGAAUGGCAUUCGAUACUGCCUGACUAGAGUAUGGUAGAGGGAAGUGGAAUUCCCGGUGUAGCGGUGAAAUGCGUAGAUAUCGGGAAGAACACCAGUGGCGAAGGCGGCUACCUGGACCAAUACUGACGCUGAGGCGCGAAAGCGUGGGGAGCAAACAGGAUUAGAAACCCCGGUAGUCC